GCAGGCAGCCUCCCCAUGGGCACAGUUUGUCAUGAGGCCGCCUUGUCUGACAAAUGGAGAAAUUGAGGCCCACGGAGGUGUGAGGUCUAGACGGGGUCUCUGCCCUGUCAGGGCAUCCGUGGACACAACGUAAGAAGACAAUGAAUGACUAAAAUAAUUUCAGAUGAUUAUACGGGCCGGGGAGGGGGGGGAAGAAAAAGAAUGAGAAGCAGGAACUGUCUGGGGACAUCAGGGAGGGCCUCUCGGAGGAGGAAACGUUUGAGCGGAGACCUGAAGAAGUAAGAGCCAACUGGGGGGAAAAACAGGGAAGGGCAGAAGGAACAGCAUGUGCCAAGGCCCUGAGGUAGGACGGUGUCUUGCAUGUUGGAGGAACAAUGAGGAGAUCCAUGUGGCUUGAGCAGAGGUCCUCUGGCUGUCCUUUGAAGAAGAUGUACCCAGAGGGUCCCGGGGGGACCGCGGAGGAGAUGACCGCUAAGCCAGGAGAGCAAGUCAGAAGCCUGGACCAGGGCAGAGGCCACGGCAAUGGAGAGACACAGGUGGUCUGAGAGGCAUCUCGGAUGCAAAGACAAGGAACCUGGCGAGUGAGAAAGAAGGAAGAAUCCGGGAGGACUCUGGCCCCUUCCCCUGAGCCCCUUCCCCCGCCCUGGCUCCUCCCCCCGGGUCCUCUGGGGGCUCACUCACAUCACCAGCUCCUAUCACCUCCUCCAGAAAGCCCUCCGGACUGCCCUGGCCAAGUCUGAAGUACCUACCUUGGCCCUGCCUGCUCCGCACAGCACAGAAGCCCCGCAGACUCCUAGAGAGAAAGAAGGAAGAUUCCAGGGUUCUGGGAUCCGAGGACUUGGACGACGUGGACCUGGCGGUCCUCACCCCUGGGUUUAGAGUCUCACCUUCGCCUCCCAGGGACCGGCCCAGGGAUGUUUUCUCAGUCGCCCUGCAGGGCGAGGGAGGUUGAUUGAGCCCAUUAGGGGAAACCAAGGCACCAUUAGCUGCUUCCCUCCUCUUUUCCAGGAGGGGUCCCUGGGGUUGGGGGCUUUGGCCCAGCUGCCGGACUAGGAGCCCAGCCGGGAAAGAUCCGGAGCGGGAGGGAGGCAGGCCCGGGAGGGGCUAGGAACGUGUCUAUAUUUUUCCUCCUGCAGAUGUAUUUAUAGAUUCCCUUUGAUGUCCCAGCGGUUGGCUGACCCGGUUCUCCGUGCUGCGGGAGGAAGACAGAAAUCUGCAAGUUACCGGGAAUGUCCCAGGGCCUGGGUUCUAAUCAGAUGAUAAAAGGCGACGGCGAGCGGGGGUGCAUUCCCACAGAGCAACUGCCCCAUAGAACUUUCCGGGAUGACAGAUGUGCUCGGAAUCCACGCUGACUCACGUGGCAGCCGCCCGCCACGGGGCUCCCGGGCCCUUGCACGCUGGCUAGUGUGAGCAACGGGGCUGGAUUCGGAAUUUGAUUUUAGUUGAUUUAAAUCUGCACUGGGGCGCCUGGGGGGCUCUGUCCCUUAGGCGUCCGGCUUCGGCUCCGGGCAU
Suricata suricatta (meerkat) is the source of this 1512-nucleotide long non-coding RNA. RefSeq lists it as uncharacterized. Lineage: Eukaryota; Metazoa; Chordata; Mammalia; Carnivora; Herpestidae. The transcript is spliced from 3 exons. The record is from RefSeq and is a predicted model, not a curated record.